Long non-coding RNA from Microcebus murinus (gray mouse lemur), 367 nucleotides. RefSeq lists it as uncharacterized. Lineage: Eukaryota; Metazoa; Chordata; Mammalia; Primates; Cheirogaleidae. The record is from RefSeq and is a predicted model, not a curated record.
ACGGGGGCGGAGCCAAUGAAAGGGCCUAGGAAGCAGAGGACUUGGCCUCAAGAACCUCGUUUUCCGCACAGUGUGGGUACUGGCCUUAGAGGAAGGUCAAUAGAACAUGGCUUCAGAAUUGAGAGAACCAAGCCUUUUAUGGUAUUAUCGGGCCUAGUCCCCCAGAAAACCUGAAGACGGUAACCACGCCCCCAAGGUGCUAAGAACUGUUACUUGCCGAAGUCACUGUCAAGCUUGCUGACACCAGAUCGAGUGGUAUCGUUUCUCUAGCUAAUGAGGGUAAUAUUGAAUGAAACCUUCAAGCACCAGGAAGCUGGUUUGAUUUGGGAAAUAUCCAGCCCCACAAUUUUGGAUUUUGGCCACUAUC